GUCCACGCCGUAAACGAUGGGCACUAGGUGUUGCGGGUAUUGACCCCUGCAGUGCCGAAGCUAACGCAUUAAGUGCCCCGCCUGGGGAGUACGGUCGCAAGACUAAAACUCAAAGGAAUUGACGGGGGCCCCGCACAAGCGGUGGAGCAUGUGGUUUAAUUCGACGCAACGCGAAGAACCUUACCUGGGCUUGACAUCCCGAUCGUACCUGCUGGAAACAGUGGGGUCAGUUCGGCUGGAUCGGAGACAGGUGCUGCAUGGCUGUCGU
This 268-nucleotide ribosomal RNA is filed under the name uncultured bacterium. RNAcentral describes it as "partial 16S ribosomal RNA". It matches the Rfam family "Bacterial small subunit ribosomal RNA", at positions 793 to 1055 of the family's 1533-position model. The record is from RNAcentral.